AGGACGAACGCUGGCGGCGUGCUUAACACAUGCAAGUCGAGCGGAAAGGCCCUUCGGGGUACUCGAGCGGCGAACGGGUGAGUAACACGUGAGCAACCUGCCCUUGGCUCUGGGAUAGCCUCCGGAAACGGGGAUUAAUACCGGACAUUCACUGAUCCCUGCAUGGGGGAUGGUGGAAAGUUUUUCGGCCAGGGAGGGGCUCGCGGCCUAUCAGCUUGUUGGCGGGGUAACGGCCCACCAAGGCGACGACGGGUA
Molecule: ribosomal RNA, 255 nt
Filed under: uncultured bacterium
Lineage: Bacteria
Description: partial small subunit ribosomal RNA
Rfam family: Bacterial small subunit ribosomal RNA
Source: RNAcentral